This 253-nucleotide ribosomal RNA is filed under the name uncultured bacterium. Its description in RNAcentral is "partial 16S ribosomal RNA". It matches the Rfam family "Bacterial small subunit ribosomal RNA", at positions 524 to 776 of the family's 1533-position model. The record is from RNAcentral.
UACGUCGGGUGCGAGCGUUGUCCGGAAUUCUUGGGCGUAAAGGGCUCGUAGGCGGUCUGUCACGUCGAACGUGAAAACUCAGGGCUUAACCCUGAGCCUGCUUCCGAUACGGGCAGACUAGAGGUAUGCAGGGGAGAAUGGAAUUCCUGGUGUAGCGGUGAAAUGCGCAGAUAUCAGGAGGAACACCAGUGGCGAAGGCGGUUCUCUGGGCAUUACCUGACGCUGAGGAGCGAAAGUGUGGGGAGCGAACAGG